Molecule: non-coding RNA, 30 nt
Filed under: Lentinula edodes (shiitake mushroom)
Lineage: Eukaryota; Fungi; Basidiomycota; Agaricomycetes; Agaricales; Omphalotaceae
Also listed under: 3 other names
Source: RNAcentral
CCGUAGGUGAACCUGCGGAAGGAUCAUUAU